RNAcentral lists this ribosomal RNA (1489 nucleotides) under Lactiplantibacillus argentoratensis. RNAcentral's name for it is "bacterial SSU rRNA". It matches the Rfam family "Bacterial small subunit ribosomal RNA". Lineage: Bacteria; Bacillati; Bacillota; Bacilli; Lactobacillales; Lactobacillaceae. The record is from RNAcentral.
GACGAACGCUGGCGGCGUGCCUAAUACAUGCAAGUCGAACGAACUCUGGUAUUGAUUGGUGCUUGCAUCAUGAUUUACAUUUGAGUGAGUGGCGAACUGGUGAGUAACACGUGGGAAACCUGCCCAGAAGCGGGGGAUAACACCUGGAAACAGAUGCUAAUACCGCAUAACAACUUGGACCGCAUGGUCCGAGUUUGAAAGAUGGCUUCGGCUAUCACUUUUGGAUGGUCCCGCGGCGUAUUAGCUAGAUGGUGAGGUAACGGCUCACCAUGGCAAUGAUACGUAGCCGACCUGAGAGGGUAAUCGGCCACAUUGGGACUGAGACACGGCCCAAACUCCUACGGGAGGCAGCAGUAGGGAAUCUUCCACAAUGGACGAAAGUCUGAUGGAGCAACGCCGCGUGAGUGAAGAAGGGUUUCGGCUCGUAAAACUCUGUUGUUAAAGAAGAACAUAUCUGAGAGUAACUGUUCAGGUAUUGACGGUAUUUAACCAGAAAGCCACGGCUAGCUACGUGCCAGCAGCCGCGGUAAUACGUAGGUGGCAAGCGUUGUCCGGAUUUAUUGGGCGUAAAGCGAGCGCAGGCGGUUUUUUAAGUCUGAUGUGAAAGCCUUCGGCUCAACCGAAGAAGUGCAUCGGAAACUGGGAAACUUGAGUGCAGAAGAGGACGGUGGAACUCCAUGUGUAGCGGUGAAAUGCGUAGAUAUAUGGAAGAACACCAGUGGCGAAGGCGGCUGUCUGGUCUGUAACUGACGCUGAGGCUCGAAAGUAUGGGUAGCAAACAGGAUUAGAUACCCUGGUAGUCCAUACCGUAAACGAUGAAUGCUAAGUGUUGGAGGGUUUCCGCCCUUCAGUGCUGCAGCUAACGCAUUUAGCAUUCCGCCUGGGGAGUACGGCCGCAAGGCUGAAACUCAAAGGAAUUGACGGGGGCCCGCACAAGCGGUGGAGCAUGUGGUUUAAUUCGAAGCUACGCGAAGAACCUUACCAGGUCUUGACAUACUAUGCAAAUCUAAGAGAUUAGACGUUCCCUUCGGGGACAUGGAUACAGGUGGUGCAUGGUUGUCGUCAGCUCGUGUCGUGAGAUGUUGGGUUAAGUCCCGCAACGAGCGCAACCCUUAUUAUCAGUUGCCAGCAUUAAGUUGGGCACUCUGGUGAGACUGCCGGUGACAAACCGGAGGAAGGUGGGGAUGACGUCAAAUCAUCAUGCCCCUUAUGACCUGGGCUACACACGUGCUACAAUGGAUGGUACAACGAGUUGCGAACUCGCGAGAGUAAGCUAAUCUCUUAAAGCCAUUCUCAGUUCGGAUUGUAGGCUGCAACUCGCCUACAUGAAGUCGGAAUCGCUAGUAAUCGCGGAUCAGCAUGCCGCGGUGAAUACGUUCCCGGGCCUUGUACACACCGCCCGUCACACCAUGAGAGUUUGUAACACCCAAAGUCGGUGGGGUAACCUUUUAGGAACCAGCCGCCUAAGGUGGGACAGAUGAUUAGGGUG